AUGCAGAGUCAAAACAUCUAUCAGCCCUUAACUCUAUUCUGGUCAAUUGGAUUUUUCAAAAGCAGUCUUAUCGUAGCAACGACAGAAUAUACGUAUAAAGACCAUUAUGAAAUGAAAGACAUAUGUGUAGAGCAUAAACUUAUCCCCGAUGUGAUCUCUGAGGCACCUGAGGAUGAGAUAGAGCUAGCGUAUAAUGAAUACGACUAUGUACACUACGGCACUUAUUUAACAGUAGAUCAAAUCAAAGAAAAACCCACACUGAUCAGAUGGCCUUUUUUACCAAAUUUACUGUACACGCUCCUGUUAAUUAGCCCAGAUCACCCGACUCGAGAAAACCCGGAAGAAAAAGAAUGA
This 354-nucleotide long non-coding RNA is filed under the name Bemisia tabaci. Its description in RNAcentral is "lncRNA ENSSSA3NGG009608". The record is from RNAcentral. Lineage: Eukaryota; Metazoa; Arthropoda; Insecta; Hemiptera; Aleyrodidae.